This 253-nucleotide ribosomal RNA is filed under the name uncultured bacterium. RNAcentral describes it as "partial 16S ribosomal RNA". It matches the Rfam family "Bacterial small subunit ribosomal RNA", at positions 524 to 776 of the family's 1533-position model. The record is from RNAcentral.
GACAGAGGGUGCAAACGUUGUUCGGAAUUACUGGGCGUAAAGCGCGUGUAGGCUGCUUCGCAAGUCGGGUGUGAAAGCCCUGGGCUCAACCUAGGAAGUGCACUCGAAACUGCGGAGCUGGAGUCCUGGAGAGGACGGCGGAAUUCUCGGUGUAGAGGUGAAAUUCGUAGAUAUCGAGAGGAACACCGGUGGCGAAGGCGGCCUUCUGGACAGUGACUGACGCUGAGACGCGAAAGCGUGGGGAGCAAACAGG